Long non-coding RNA from Alosa alosa (allis shad), 1611 nucleotides. RefSeq lists it as uncharacterized. The transcript has 6 exons. NCBI's taxonomy places the organism in Eukaryota, Metazoa, Chordata, Actinopteri, Clupeiformes, Clupeidae. The record is from RefSeq and is a predicted model, not a curated record.
UUAGAACAGUGGAGUCCUGGCUAACUCAUGUUAACCAGCUACGUUAGCAUGUUAGCUAUUUCCUCAGUGGCUAUUAAAAUUCCAACCAACUGUAAUGGGUUGAAAUGGAGUGCCUGUGCCUUUAAGGCAACCCACCACAUCGGUGCCACACCGGAUGCCGGAUGGGUAGUAAUUAUCAAAGAGGCUGAUGCUUGCUUUAUAAGUGUGGUGUCAGACAUGGCCUGGGAAGCGACAGGACUAGGUUGGGAUUGUUUGUCUGUCUCUAGUUUUGUGCCCUCGUUUGCUCCUUCUCAGUCUGUGCUCCUGUGGUUAGCAGCUCGUGGAUAUCCGUGGUCUUCUGCAGAAGGGACCCAUUGUUGGGAGUGGUGCUGCAGGAGUUGGGAGUCGAGCGAUUGAUCGUUGUGAGUCAGUUAGCGAUUCGUGAGCUAAGGAGUGUGUGGGUUUUGUUGUCUUCUGCUGGUUUCAUGGUCCGAUUGGCCACCCUGUUCAAUACGCGUCCAUUAUCGCAGGGAAAUCGCAUUUCAUCAGCUGUUGUGGUUGUACGCUGGCUACAUCCAUUGGAGUGGAUCUCUAUCACCAGCUAAUACUUGUGCUGCUGUUUUGUCUGAUUUUGUUUUGUUUUAUUUAGUAUGCCGUCUGUCCGACGUGAUGCCAUUAGCUGUAGGCCUAAUCUAGGCGAGCCUACUGUGCGUGCUGGCACAGGCUUCUUACAGUAACCCUCCGCUUGUGUGUGUGCAUGCGGGCCUGUGUGUUAUUUGUAUGGUUUUAUUUCUGUCUUUGUCUGUUGUGGGAAAAGGUCAGCGCGUCAUUGGCGUUGUGUUUAGUUUGUUUAUUUCUGUUAUCUUGUCCAUUAUGUCUCACCAGUGGCAAGUGUCGUCUAUUGCAUGGGCAUGUGUCUGUAUUUGUCACAAAGUCUGCUGUGAGUGGUUAAGGCGCUUUUGUGGUGCCCUUGUUGGGUUUUGGUUCUGUUGCUGUUGUGCAUGCUGUGUUUACUCUAACUGUAAGCUUACUUACACCUUUGUUUCACUGCCCCUCAGACGGUGAGAGCGUCUGUUGGCUCCUCAUGACUUAGACCGGUUUCUUGACCCAUUGGUGUGAUUGUGUCUUUCAUUGUUUCUUUUUUUUUGUUACCGAAGUUGGGGCUUUACUGCAGGGAGGCUUGUCACCUUGUGGUGGGUGUCCUAUUUUUCAUGUGUGUUUACUGUGUGCAUUCCCAGUGUAGCAUGCACCUGGGUGGUUGUGGUGUAUCCAGAGUUCCACGUGUGGUCCUGUUGACCCCAGUCCAGAUAGCCUGCCUCCCCUGGACUAACCUCUCCUUAUAAUGAGGCUGUGAUCUCUUAUUUGCUCGGAGCUAGCCUAUGUCUGCAAGUCAUGACGCCAUUGCGUCUGCUGGAAGCAAGACAGACUCCGAAGUAGCCUACAGGGCAACGCACCACAUACGUCUGCAAACGGACUGAAUUCAGACAGAAUGCUGCCAGUUACCUUUGCUCCAAGGUGGCAAACAGCCACUUCACGGUGCUGUAGGAUUUUGGGCUUCUCGUGAGCUUACCAUUUAUAGCCUACGUAGGUAUAUUGUGUGUCUGUGCUAAUAAAGCUCUUUCUUUGAAUUAA